This 429-nucleotide ribosomal RNA is filed under the name Actinomycetes bacterium. RNAcentral describes it as "Actinobacteria bacterium partial 16S ribosomal RNA". It matches the Rfam family "Bacterial small subunit ribosomal RNA", at positions 355 to 776 of the family's 1533-position model. Lineage: Bacteria; Bacillati; Actinomycetota; Actinomycetes. The record is from RNAcentral.
UAGGGAAUCUUCCGCAAUGGGCGAAAGCCUGACGGAGCAACGCCGCGUGAGUGAUGAAGGUCUUCGGAUCGUAAAACUCUGUUAUUAGGGAAGAACAAUUGUGUAAGUAACUAUGCACGUCUUGACGGUACCUAAUCAGAAAGCCACGGCUAACUACGUGCCAGCAUCCUCGGUAAUACGGAGGUGGCAAGCGUUAUCCGGAAUUAUUGGGCGUAAAGCGCGCGUAGGCGGUUUUUUAAGUCUGAUGUGAAAGCCCACGGCUCAACCGUGGAGGGUCAUUGGAAACUGGAAAACUUGAGUGCAGAAGAAGAAAGUGGAAUUCCAUGUGUAGCGGUGAAAUGCGCAGAGAUAUGGAGGAACACCAGUGGCGAAGGCGACUUACUGGUCUGUAACUGACGCUGAUGUGCGAAAGCGUGGGGAUCAAACAGG